GUGGAUUAGAUACCCGGGUAGUCCUAGCCGUAAACGAUGGGCACUAGGUGUGGGGGGUCAUCAACUCCCUCCGUGCCGCAGCUAACGCAUUAAGUGCCCCGCCUGGGGAGUACGACCGCAAGGUUAAAACUCAAAGGAAUUGACGGGGGCCCGCACAAGCAGCGGAGCAUGUGGCUUAAUUCGACGCAACGCGAAGAACCUUACCAGGGCUUGACAUGCAGGGAAAAGCGGCGGAAACGUCGUGUCCGCAAGGGCCCUGCACAGGUGGUGCACGGUUGUCGACAACU
RNAcentral lists this ribosomal RNA (287 nucleotides) under uncultured bacterium. Its description in RNAcentral is "partial 16S ribosomal RNA". It matches the Rfam family "Bacterial small subunit ribosomal RNA", at positions 773 to 1060 of the family's 1533-position model. The record is from RNAcentral.